AGCAGUCGCCGCGGGAAUACGGAGGGAGCUAGCGUUAUUCGGAAUUACUGGGCGUAAAGCGCACGUAGGCGGCUUUGUAAGUUAGAGGUGAAAGCCUGGAGCUCAACUCCAGAAUUGCCUUUAAGACUGCAUCGCUUGAAUCCAGGAGAGGUGAGUGGAAUUCCGAGUGUAGAGGUGAAAUUCGUAGAUAUUCGGAAGAACACCAGUGGCGAAGGCGGCUCACUGGACUGGUAUUGACGCUGAGGUGCGAAAGCGUGGGGAGCAAACAGGAUUAGAUACCCGAGUAGUCCCUGUCUCUUAUAC
This 303-nucleotide ribosomal RNA is filed under the name uncultured bacterium. RNAcentral describes it as "partial 16S ribosomal RNA". It matches the Rfam family "Bacterial small subunit ribosomal RNA", at positions 507 to 807 of the family's 1533-position model. The record is from RNAcentral.